Molecule: long non-coding RNA, 3201 nt
Organism: Lynx canadensis (Canada lynx)
Lineage: Eukaryota; Metazoa; Chordata; Mammalia; Carnivora; Felidae
Exons: 5
Source: RefSeq, a predicted model, not a curated record
UUUUUCUUUCUCUCUCUCUCUCUCUCUCUCUCUCUCUCCCCUCUCUCUCUCUCCCCCCCCCUUUUUUUUUUUUCCUCUUUGGUCUCAGUCAUGGGGACACCAUUGGGAAUGGAGGGAAGCCAGUGACUGCAUGCUAGAAGCUUUCUAAGUUGCGCACUGAUAUUCCAGGCCGGCUGUGCCUGAGCCAGUGUGGGCUUAAGUUCUUCACGGCCCCGGGGCCCUGGGAAGGUGGAGCCAGCUGCUUCUCCCCGAAUAACUGGGAGGUGAAACAAGAAGCUCUAUGACGCAGUUGAUCGAAAAUGACACAGACACAGAAAAGUCAGGACUCGGCCCCCUCCAGUGCCUCCACCUGCUGCCCACGGCCAGAGUGCAGAUGGGCGAAGUAAGGAGCAGAAAGCAAAAGGACUCGGCUGAAGUGUGCAGCCUCCAGCAGCUCUCCCAUCCUUCAUGAACUCGAUCUGGAAAGGAGACUCUCAGGAGGGUGGGCCCCCAGUGGUUGGAAGGGGAGCAUUCGUGCUGUCCGCCCUGCAUAAAAGCUCAGACAUUUGGGCUGUAAGGGAAAGAACUUAAUGCAGGAAGUAAGGGCUGUAAGGGAAAGAACUCAACUUAAUGGAGUUGAGAAAGAAAUCCACCGGUCAGUGCCUGCAAAGUCCAGGACUGGCUUGACUCUAUGACAUCAGCAGGACUGGAUCUCAAUCGCCCCAUCGCUCUUGAGGGGGGGGGGGUCUCCCCUAGAGGUGGCUGUGAGCUGGCUGCUGGAAGCUUAGCUCAAAGACUGUCUUCUGAGCAGCCCGGGUGACAGGCAUGGGAAUGGCAUGACGGGACCAUCCGCCCAUCCUGGACAUUGGAACUGGGGCAUGGGAUGUGCUAGUCAGUGGUUCUGGGUCACUCGCCCACCUCCGGACCAGGCAGCCCACCAAAACGGCGUGAGCUGGUCCUGGAAGGACGCCGGUGCCAGAGAAGGAAGAUCAGAUCCUGAAAGGUGGUCACAGCAGGUGCACCCCACGCCCCGCGCCCUGCUCUUUCCUUGACCUUCUACACCUUGGUUCUUCUUUCCUGGAAGUGUAACAUGCAGCUGUUCCCUUGCCAAACUUGCCACCGUGGUCAAAUGGCUUCACUUCUCCAUGCCUCAAACGAAGAUGUUGAAAAGGACCUUUUGCAUGGGGUUGUUGUGAGAAUUCACUAAAAUAACAGACCUCAAGCAUCUGGCACCUGGUGCCCAGCAACUCACUUGCUCAUUGGCUCAACGUGGUUAAAAGGUUCUUAUCGCUGUGUCCCAGGACAGAAAGACCCCUCCCUCUGCAGCUCCAGGGGCGACUCAGUGCGUUAAAAAAAAAAAAAAAAAAAAAAAAAAAAGGAGGGGGGGCAACUGGCAGGUGAAAGGCAGACAGGAAGAGCAAACAGGAAGUCAAAUUACUUCUUCGUAAGACACCUUGAUGCCCUAAGGACAGCCUGUUACAAGCGGCCAUCACUCUGGGAAAAGAAAUUGGGGUCUCAGAAACCAGACCCUUUGAAGAGUAAAGCCUCUCACUUUGGCCAGCCUCUGUGACGAUCCUCAUUGAACAUUGCCCAGAAAUAAGUUUUGAUGGCACGUGCUUCUCAUGCAGAUGCUCCCAUGUUCGCAGUUUUUUUCUGAAUGAUCUUUACCAAUAAACCUCUCUCGCGUCCUUACCCUAUCUCUGUUCUAUUUACGGAGCAAGAGAACCCCAAUUUUAUCCGGGGAGGUAAUGUGCCCGACUAAAAGACUACAUUUUCCGGGCUCCUUUGCAGUUCACUGUGGCCAUGUAACUAAUUUCUAGCCAAUGGGAUACAAGCAGAAGUAUGGAAUUCAUAGGAAGGUAAGUUAAAAGGAACGGAUUCAAUUGCGGAGAUAUUCUCUUCCUCCUUCAUCGGGCCAUAGAUGGGAGAGCAGGAACUCCUGCAGCCUCCUUGUGACACUGAGAGCAAAAGCCAGAGCUAGGGUUGUGGAACAGAAAGGCAAGAAGAAGAAAGUUCUGUAAGUCUUUUCUAUGGGUAUGUAAACACUUGUGUUUUAUGCUUCUGUCUUUGGAGUUUUCGGCCAAAUGCAGCUAAAUACAAUCCUAGCUUGAAACAUGAUUCAUCCCUCAGCAACCCUUGGCUGAUCUUCACCCUCUGGAGAAGAGUAGAAAUCCGUGCAUGCCAGUAUCCUGAAUAAUCUUGGCCUCCUCAGGACCUGAGAAGGGUUCCCAUGGACUUUGGACCCCAUGGGGCCUUAGGGUAGGGCCCAGGCUACUUCCCUCCGGUGAAACAAAAACACUUUCUCUUUGCUCUGGGAAGGAUUUAAGAUGCAUUGACCUACCUCAUCAAAUCUUACAAUGCAUGUGAUUUAUUUUUCCGUGCCGGACCCUGUUGGCUAAAACUGAACCACAAUCAUUUUACUGAAUCGGUAAAGAAAACUUGUGUCAAACGGUAACUUACACCAGACGUGUGAUUCUGUUUUGUAACAGUUUACAGUUGACCAAUCACUUUCUGUGCAUUAUCACCACCCACACACACACACACACAGAGAGAGAGAGAGAGAGAGAGAGAGAGAGAAAAGGGGAUGGCUGUAUCCGCUGUACCAGAACCUGGGGCUCGGUCACUCUGUCAUCUUCAGACCAGCCCUGCCCUGGGUCAGACCAGGUGAUGGGGACAAAAUUUCACAGAAGUCCUUCCAAGAGUGGUCAUGUUUUUAGAAUAAGAUAUUGAAAACAUUAUCUUGACAGUAAAGUCAAAGCAGAUUUUAUCUUCCUUAAGCUGCUUGCUGGUGGUUGCCGAAGGCAUAGACACAACAAUCCAGUCUCCUAAACUAGAAGUUCUCUCUCGCCUGGCUCCACUGUGUACAUUUUGUGUGUGCGGGCAUGCAUGCGACAUUCUUCACCGGGCUGCAGCUGGGGCUCAGUCCUGGAUGAGCCCACCCUUACUUGCUCCUCCCUCACCCCCCCUCCUCCCUGCGCUGCCUCACCCGGGUGUCACAGGCCUACCCAGCCCCCAGCCCCUUGGUAGAGGCGGGGAGCAGAGGGAGGCUCAGACUGUGGCCCGAGGUUAUUUACAGGGUGGGGGUGGGGGAGGGAAGAGAAAUUCACUGCUUUGUUUAUCUUCGGAGUCUGGAAACUCUACAGAAUUCAUCCAUUUCCAAGGAAGCCUGCAUGUGCAGGCUUCCAAAACGAAAAAAUAAAAGGAGAUUCACUUCAAAAGAAA